GAUCCCGGAGGUCAACAUCCGACAGCGCGAUGCGCCCUCGGGUGCGUGUUUCG
This 53-nucleotide small RNA is filed under the name Ditibartonella apis. RNAcentral describes it as "Bartonella apis non-coding RNA". It matches the Rfam family "ffh sRNA". The record is from RNAcentral. Lineage: Bacteria; Pseudomonadati; Pseudomonadota; Alphaproteobacteria; Hyphomicrobiales; Bartonellaceae.